GACGAACGCUGGCGGCGUGCUUAACACAUGCAAGUCGAACGCUGAAGCCCUUUCGGGGGUGGAUGAGUGGCGAACGGGUGAGUAACACGUGGGUAAUCUGCCCUGCACUCCGGGAUAAGCCUUGGAAACGGGGUCUAAUACCGGAUAGGACACAUCGCCGCAUGGUGUGUGUGUGGAAAGUUCCGGCGGUGCAGGUUGAGCCCGCGGCCUAUCAGCUUGUUGGUGGGGCGAUGGCCUACCAAGGCGACGACGGGUAGCCGGCCUGAGAGGGUGACCGGCCACACUGGGACUGAGACACGGCCCAGACUCCUACGGGGGGCAGCAGUGGGGAAUCUUGCGCAAUGGGCGAAAGCCUGACGCAGCAACGCCGCGUGGGGGAUGACGGCCUUCGGGUUGUAAACCUCUUUCGACCGGGACGAAGGGUGACUGACGGUACCGGUAGAAGAAGCACCGGCUAACUACGUGCCAGCCGCCGCAGUAA
Molecule: ribosomal RNA, 481 nt
Filed under: uncultured bacterium
Lineage: Bacteria
Description: partial 16S ribosomal RNA
Rfam family: Bacterial small subunit ribosomal RNA
Source: RNAcentral